UGGGGUCUGUCAGCAAAGGUGCUGUGUACUAGUGAAGGCGACCGCGGCGAGGUGUGGUACGAAGCAGCCUGGAACACCAGCCAAUCGCGAUCAAUUGUGCUUCAAAGCAGUCUGGUCCCAACGUGAAAGGAUCGACUUCUGCAUCUGACACAGGGCCUGACCUCGGGCAAGUCAAGACAACUCCCGUGUCGAGUGUACUGACAGACUGUUAGAGCGGGGCCUCUAACACUAGUGAGUGCAUUGGGCGUGGUGAUGACACUGAAACACGUGGUGAUGACACUGUGUCAAACUUUUGAGGAAGAUUACAAACGUAGUUGAUUGAGCUGUGUUGACUGCCUUGAUACUGCUUUUCUUUGUUCUCACUAUACGCGGACUCGAAUGCCUCACAAAGCUGUCAGUUGUGAUUAUUGUUAAAUAAAUAAAUUUCAGUCAGCAAGC
Rhipicephalus microplus (southern cattle tick) is the source of this 438-nucleotide long non-coding RNA. Lineage: Eukaryota; Metazoa; Arthropoda; Arachnida; Ixodida; Ixodidae. The record is from RefSeq and is a predicted model, not a curated record.